Long non-coding RNA from Myotis davidii, 778 nucleotides. RefSeq lists it as uncharacterized. The record is from RefSeq and is a predicted model, not a curated record. NCBI's taxonomy places the organism in Eukaryota, Metazoa, Chordata, Mammalia, Chiroptera, Vespertilionidae. The transcript has 3 exons.
GGAGAGCCUGGGCCUGUGUGCCCUGGGGCUCGCACCCCGUGUGCUCAAUUCGGAGCCCCCAGGUUCCCCAGGUAGCCUGGCCCGUGUUGCUGUGUGAUGUUGACCAGCGAGGCCAUGUUCGGGGCUGCUCUCCAGGGCUUCGCGGGGGAUCUGACAGGCCGCCCUGCCACGCCUGCCUUGUCUUCCGACGUCUGCGAAGUGCUGGGCCUGGGGGCGCAGAAUGUUAUUCCAGAUGUUGAAAAGCCUUCCCGGAGAAGGGGCAUCUGUCCAGGUUGGCAACGGCUCUUCCUCCUCCUCGCUGUGUGACCCUGAGGGCCUCGGUUCCUCCGCAGUGAAAGAAGCACGAAGGCAUCGCCCCACCCCACACCACUGACCGCCAGGGAGCCAUUAUCUCCUGUCACCCACCCACCCACAGGUGAUCUGGACAUGGGCUCGGGGGUGGGGAGACCACACGCAGCCUCCGCCCGGCUCCCAGCAUUUCUCAGCCGGAGAACAAGUCCAGAGGCGCCAGUGAAGGAAACACACUGUAAUUUGCACCCUCACCGAGAAGAAAGGGGGAGGGGGAGGGGUCUGUCCCCAUGUGGGAGUGGGGUCUGGGCGGGGAUCUGCCACCCCCCCAGUGGCGCUGCCCCUCUGGCCUGGGCCCCUGGCCGUGUGGGUGCUGCUCACAGCCUCUCCCGGUGACCAUGGCCAGCGCCGGGGGAGGCACCGGGCGUACUGACUGUUUGGUGAUCGUCGCUGUAUUUACAGGGCUUGAUGGGGAUAAAAAUAAAGUGAG